This 453-nucleotide long non-coding RNA is filed under the name Rattus norvegicus (Norway rat). RNAcentral describes it as "long non-coding RNA NONRATT001450". Lineage: Eukaryota; Metazoa; Chordata; Mammalia; Rodentia; Muridae. The record is from RNAcentral.
CAGACGAUCGCCACCGGAUUGAAGAAAAACGCAAAAGGACCUACGAGACCUUCAAGAGCAUCAUGAAGAAGAGUCCUUUCAAUGGACCAACUGAACCCCGGCCUCCACCCCGACGUAUUGCUGUGCCUUCCCGAGGCCCAACUUCUGUCCCCAAGCCAGGUAAGGAAGUCCUUUUGUCCUUCUAGAAUGAGGGUCUCGUUUAUUCAGACUGAAGUAUCUUCUAGAAGGGAACAGAACAGACACUAGUCUCACCUGCAGAGUUCUGAAACCUGCUCUCUAUGGGGCCUGUGCUUCUCGGGGUGAGGCCUGGGUCUCUGCCAGGACCAUCCAGGGAGCGGUGCAGAUGUGGACUCUUGGGCUCUGUCACAGACUGAUAAACUCAAGGCUUUGAAAGUGGGGCACAAGAACUAGCCAUUUCCUGAGGGUGCUAUUGGCUCCAGUUAAACCCUGAGC